UACAGGGGGUGCAAACGUUGCUCGGAAUCAUUGGGCGUAAAGCGCACGUAGGCGGUUCGUUAUGUCGGAUGUGAAAGCCCUUGGCUUAACCGAGGAAGUGCAUCCGAAACUGGCGAGCUAGAGUACUAAAGAGGAUCGCGGAAUUCCCCGGUGUAGAGGUGAAAUUCGUAGAUAGUCGGGAGGAACACCGGUGGCGAAGGCGGCGAUCUGGGUAGAUACUGACGCUGAGGUGCGAAAGCGUGGGGGAGCAAACAGG
This 256-nucleotide ribosomal RNA is filed under the name uncultured bacterium. RNAcentral describes it as "partial 16S ribosomal RNA". It matches the Rfam family "Bacterial small subunit ribosomal RNA", at positions 524 to 776 of the family's 1533-position model. The record is from RNAcentral.